CGAGCUUGGAUGGUGACAGGGAAUAAGGCUGGAUGGUGGCAGGGAGUGAGGCUGGAUGGUGACAGGAGUGAGGCUGGAUGGUGGCAGGGAUGGUGACAGGGAAUGAGGCUGGAUGGUGACAGGGAUGGUGGCAGGGAACGAGGCUGGAUGGUGGCAGGAGUGAAGCUGGAUGGUGACAGGGAUGGUGGCAGGGAACGAGGCUGGAUGGUGGCAGGAGUGAAGCUGGAUGGUGGCAGGGAACGAGGCUGGAUGGUGGCAGCGGCCGGUCAUGCCCUUAAUCUGCGAAUUCGCUAAAGCUCUUUAAUAAAGAUUCAAAGUCACCAAGUUCUCAAUUAAGGGAUGAGGCAGCCCUUGAUCCGCGUUUCUGGGUCAGCCGGAGAAAGGCCAUUUAAGAGCCGGGCGAUUCCUUUGAUGUUUGCAGGGAAUGAACACCUGGCUGUGCAGGAGGCUCGGCCUCCUCCGGGGCAGCCCCGAGUCCAA
RNAcentral lists this long non-coding RNA (480 nucleotides) under Ficedula albicollis (Collared flycatcher). Its description in RNAcentral is "lncRNA (ENSFALG00000027835.1)". Lineage: Eukaryota; Metazoa; Chordata; Aves; Passeriformes; Muscicapidae. The record is from RNAcentral.